UACGUAGGGGGCAAGCGUUGUCCGGAAUCAUUGGGCGUAAAGAGCGUGUAGGCGGCCCGAUAAGUCCGCUGUGAAAGUCCAGGGCUCAACCCUGGGAUGCCGGUGGAUACUGUCGGGCUCGAGUCCGGAAGAGGAGUGUGGAAUUCCUGGUGUAGCGGUGAAAUGCGCAGAUAUCUGGAGGAAUACCGGUGGCGAAGGCGGCAUCCUGGACCGGCAUUGACGCUGAGGAGCGAAAGCCAGGGGAGCAAACGGG
RNAcentral lists this ribosomal RNA (253 nucleotides) under uncultured bacterium. RNAcentral describes it as "partial 16S ribosomal RNA". It matches the Rfam family "Bacterial small subunit ribosomal RNA", at positions 524 to 776 of the family's 1533-position model. The record is from RNAcentral.